Molecule: non-coding RNA, 31 nt
Filed under: Homo sapiens (human)
Lineage: Eukaryota; Metazoa; Chordata; Mammalia; Primates; Hominidae
Source: RNAcentral
UCACCCAGAAAAGUGAUGCCCCUGGAAGGAC